RNAcentral lists this long non-coding RNA (624 nucleotides) under Fukomys damarensis (Damara mole-rat). RNAcentral's name for it is "lncRNA (ENSFDAG00000028679.1)". Lineage: Eukaryota; Metazoa; Chordata; Mammalia; Rodentia; Bathyergidae. The record is from RNAcentral.
UAUUUUUGUUCUUUUUUCUUUUUGUUUUUGCUGUUUAAGCACCUGUCAUCUACUUGUGUAGGGGUUAAGGUGGAAGACGAUAAAGAUGAGAUGUCAACAUUAUUGUUUCUUUAAACGUUUCACCCUAUACACUUUGUAAGGCUGCUGAAAUUUUGGAACUGGUGUGUUAUAGCUGCUUGUAUUACUCUCCCAUGCAUAAGAAAGAACAUUCAAUUCACUUAACGCCACUCCACAAGUCUUUCUACUCUCAUCUGUACCCAGGGGAAAACAAAUUCCAGUGCAUUAGGGCAUUUGGAUGGCAGCACAUCACAGCUGAGGGAGCGCCUAGGCUUGGCUCUGUUUCCAACAGCCCUGUGACCCUGGGCCCAUGGCCACACCCCUUUGGGGGACCCUGGGUUCAACUGCUAAAAUGCAAAAAUUAGACAUUACUUAAAAAUCUUCUUGCCCUCCAAACACUUUAUUUUCAUCUUUUCAUUAUCUCACAUUUUUUUCUUUUCCUUUAUUACCCUUCCCCUACCCAUCCCACCUUCCCAACACCUUUAGCAGGGAUAAGGGGAAAAAAUGAGAAUCAAGACUUGUCAUGUAGAGGUACAAGAUCCCAACAAUGAAUGUAACUGUACUGCA